Molecule: long non-coding RNA, 3759 nt
Filed under: Homo sapiens (human)
Lineage: Eukaryota; Metazoa; Chordata; Mammalia; Primates; Hominidae
Description: HSALNT0358741
Source: RNAcentral
GCCUGGCUGGGACCGAGUCACCUCUCCCACUUUCAGUCUGGCUCUGGAGCCAUUCCGCCCAGCGUUGGAGUGCCAGCUUGGCCACCGUCCAGCGGAAUGACCUCUGCAUGACGCCUAACCUCUGCGAGCAAGCCUGUUUUCUCCUCUGUAAAAUGGGAGCAGUCAUCCUCCCGCCGCCGGGGACAUUUGUGUGCUUCCCAGCUUGGGUUUGGUAAGCGGAAGAUAUUCCAUAAAGGACAGCUCUUCCCCGCCACCCACUCCACGAGUUACUCACAUCACCUGCAGGGCACCUAACCACAUCUAUGGUCGCUCGCACCACGAAGGCCUUCAGUGAUGACCAAAUGCCACCCUUUUUCACCAACCAAGAGGCCCUUGGAUCUCAGAUCUCCAUCUUGUCUAUCAAUUUGCAGUUAUUAAUACAAACGACAGCAUAUGUAUCAAUCAUGUCUUCAUAUUUUCAUUCAUCAAGAACACAUCUAUACAGUACCCUUUAUAUUUUUAAACAGUAUUAAACCUAUUUGUUUAAAGAGUAGGUACACGGUUCUUGCAAAUGGCUCACCUGUAAUCCCAGCACUUUGGGAGGCCAAGGCAGACAGACUGCUUGAGCCCAGGAGUUCCAGACAAGCCCUGGAAACAUGGCAAAACCUCAUCUCUACAAAAAAAUGCAAAAAUUAGCCGGGCGUAGUGGCGCAUGCCUGUGGUCCCAGUUACUCAGGAGGCUGAGGUGGAAGGAUCACUUGAGCCCAGGAGGUGGAAGCUGCAGUGAGUCGAGAUCAUGCCACUGCACUCCAGCCUGGGCAACAGAGUGAAACUUUGUACCCCCCGCCCCCACACCAAAAGAAAUAGUUGGGAUUAUCUCUGGAACUCUGCUGCUGUCUUUGAGCUUCCAAGGAUGGAGGUAGGAUUUGGAACCACUGAUAAGACCUUCCCUAGAUUUUAUAGAGAAAACUGCUGUUCAGGGAGGGGACAUAACUAGGAAUCUGACACCUGCUUAGAGAAACCUCUGAUCCUUCCCUGUGUCCUUCAGAGUGAUUUGAUGCCAAGAAGGUGUUUAUCAUGCCUGGUGACCACAUUGAUGGCCUCUGCCUCUUUCUCCCCAACAUAGUUUCUACCCAGAGCCUGGAGCAUAGAUAGUAAAUAAUCAGGAAAUAGUUGCUGGGUUGAUGAUUGAAUGAAUAGGUGGAGAGACGCAUGGAUGCCCAGAUUUUGCUCCUCUUUGAAGCCUGAGCGGCUUCUUUGGUUUUGUACUUUUCUCCCUCUCCUUGCCCACAGGACAGCUGCUCAACAUGUGGGCUCUGUACCCAGUAGGUGACUAAUAAAUAUGAGCAUCCUAUAGGCAGUUUGCCUGGAUGGCAACUGAUUGACCUAAGGUCAGCCCUCAGCCAGCUGCUGGGAAUGCAUGCUCCAGGAUCCCCUGAAACAACAUGUACGGUGGGAGAGGGUAAUAGGUGAGAGUGACCAGAUGGGUAUCAGAGGCCUAGGUACCAGGCCAGAAGACCGGGCCACGCCCAAACUCUGCACCUUCUUGCCCUAUCAUGUGCACACUAAGGAACUCUGCAUUUAAAAUGUCAGAGGUUCCAAGCCCUCACUUUACAAAGGAGGAGGUACCAUGGCCCAGAGAAGGAAAAGAACCAUCCCAGGGUCUCUCAGUAAACCUGAUAGCUAAGCCACCUGCUCCUAACCCACUACUACCUCCCAGCUCUCUCUUCAUUGAUCCCAGUGUGGCAGCAUUCAGGUGUGGCAGCUCUGGCCCCAUAUACUGUCCUCAGACUGGAAGGCAGGAGGGAGCACCCAGGUGAGGCUCACAUCCCUGUCCCCUUCCCUGUCCAGUGGCUCCAGCCAUCCCACAGUCUCCAGAAUGGGUCAGUGGAAUGAACACAAGAUUUGGAGGAAAGACCUGGCCCAGUGACCUUGGGUAGGCCUGCCCUCUCUGUAAACCUCAGUUUUUCCAGGUAUCAGAUGGGAAUGUUGAUCCCAUCCUUACCAACUUCUACAGUGACUGACAGGAUCCAAGGAGGAUGCAAAGAGGAAGGAGCUUUGCUGUUCCCUGAGUUUUUUUGUACUGUAUCACCCUUCUUAUGAUGAUGAUGUGAGAUGUUAAAGUGCCUGCUUGAUGAGGUGAAGUGAGAGACAGGAUCUUGCCCAGGCUGGAGUGCAGUGGCUAUUCACAAGUGCAAUCGUAGUGCACUACAGUCUUGGACUCCUGGCCUCAAGCAAUCCCACCUGUUUCCUGAGUAGCUGGACUAUAGGUUCCCUGACCUCCCUGGACCUCAGUUUCCAAAUCUGCUGAUGGAGGAUGAUGUUUUCAGUGCCUACACAGCUCCCAAAGUGAAGAUGAUAUGGAAACUGGGUGGUGUCGAGGACGGUCACACAGAGCCAAGGAGCAGAAAUGCUUGCCCUGCUUCUGCCAUGGUCUUCACAGUGAGAGACAGGCAGCUAUGCCCCUGAAUUCUCCAGGACCUGCCAAGUUGGGCCAUUUCAGAGAGGAGAAACUGAGACUCGGAGCUAUGUAAUCAGCAUACUGGAGCAUAGAAAGCAGAGACAGGCAGAAGGCAAGAACUCAGAGAUGGGAAAGGAAUCCUGACCCACCCAGAUUGGCAAAGCCAUUGCAGACCCAUGGUUCUGGGGUUUUCCUGUUGGCUCGCAAAGUGAUAUCAAGUCAGAGGUAUUGUUUUCCCUUGUCUCUGCCAUUGAUAAGACAGAGAAAAACAGCUCCCAUGAUAACAUUGAUGCUGCCAGCCCUUCCUGCUACUGGCUUUCCUGGUUGGAGUCCUCUCCUAUGCUCCUUCCUCUCUCUCCUUCCGGACUGAGAUUCAAGCCGAGAUGCCUUGUGGGGCAAAGGAGCCGGCGGUGAGGUUCCCUCCUUCAGUUGCUUCAGCAGGCACAUAGCUCCUUCUGAUCUUGGACAAAGCCCAAAAGGCUCUGAGGCAGUGGUGUGCUGGGGCAGGCUCAUACUGACUCAUUAGAGCCAAUUGCUAAAUUUCGGGGAAUCUUGUAAGCCAAUUGUUAAACACAGUCAUUAUUAAAAAUUAGAUGAUAUGAGAUUGCAACUAAAUAAUUUAUACUUUUUUAAAAGUAAUAAACACUCCUAACUCAUCAUGUCCUAUUUACUUUAUUGCAUUUUACUGUUAACUAUCCUCUGGAGGUAAUUUACAUAUUGUAUUUACAUGGUGGAAAUACCAUAUACUUGUGUACUAUUGUUCAUCUUUUCUCAAUUUGCACUUGAAACUGGUAGUUUUUAUGCCAUAGAAAUCAGCGAACACUGCAAAUCAAGGAUGUUUUAUUUUUUAGAGAGCUGGUGGUUAAAGAUUUACCAAGACACCACUGCUGCAGGUACUUUCCCUGAGAUACCACUCUGAGGACCCUGUGGUCCCAAGGCCACACAGUGAUCCGCAGAUAGGGAGUACCAGGAUGACUGCCCACAUCUUCAGUGGCCUCCACCACAAUGCGCACUUGUCCUCUGAGGCACUUUGCUGCCAUAAGUCUGUGUCACAGACAGGCUAGAUAUGCCGAACACUGUUUCCAUUUCUUUCUCUAUUUUAAAAUAUAUUAUUUUACAAUGGCUGUAUAUGAUCACUGUCAAACAUUUAAGCUAUCUAAUCCCAUCAGUGAGUGAGAACCUGUGUUAAUUUUGUAAUAUACAUAAUUCUUGUCUUUUAUCUAUGCAUAGACAUGUUUUUAACUUUUACUGUAAAAAUGGAUCAGAAGCUGCUUUUUCUGAUUUGAAUCCUACUUUUGUGUUUCAACUCUGCAAUAUAA